RNAcentral lists this ribosomal RNA (766 nucleotides) under Staphylococcus aureus. RNAcentral's name for it is "bacterial SSU rRNA". It matches the Rfam family "Bacterial small subunit ribosomal RNA", at positions 28 to 776 of the family's 1533-position model. Lineage: Bacteria; Bacillati; Bacillota; Bacilli; Caryophanales; Staphylococcaceae. The record is from RNAcentral.
GAUGAACGCUGGCGGCGUGCCUAAUACAUGCAAGUCGAGCGAACGGACGAGAAGCUUGCUUCUCUGAUGUUAGCGGCGGACGGGUGAGUAACACGUGGAUAACCUACCUAUAAGACUGGGAUAACUUCGGGAAACCGGAGCUAAUACCGGAUAAUAUUUUGAACCGCAUGGUUCAAAAGUGAAAGACGGUCUUGCUGUCACUUAUAGAUGGAUCCGCGCUGCAUUAGCUAGUUGGUAAGGUAACGGCUUACCAAGGCAACGAUGCAUAGCCGACCUGAGAGGGUGAUCGGCCACACUGGAACUGAGACACGGUCCAGACUCCUACGGGAGGCAGCAGUAGGGAAUCUUCCGCAAUGGGCGAAAGCCUGACGGAGCAACGCCGCGUGAGUGAUGAAGGUCUUCGGAUCGUAAAACUCUGUUAUUAGGGAAGAACAUAUGUGUAAGUAACUGUGCACAUCUUGACGGUACCUAAUCAGAAAGCCACGGCUAACUACGUGCCAGCAGCCGCGGUAAUACGUAGGUGGCAAGCGUUAUCCGGAAUUAUUGGGCGUAAAGCGCGCGUAGGCGGUUUUUUAAGUCCGAUGUGAAAGCCCACGGCUCAACCGUGGAGGGUCAUUGGAAACUGGAAAACUUGAGUGCAGAAGAGGAAAGUGGAAUUCCAUGUGUAGCGGUGAAAUGCGCAGAGAUAUGGAGGAACACCAGUGGCUAAGGCGACUUUCUGGUCUGUAACUGACGCUGAUGUGCGAAAGCGUGGGGAUCAAACAGG